This 480-nucleotide ribosomal RNA is filed under the name uncultured bacterium. RNAcentral's name for it is "bacterial SSU rRNA". It matches the Rfam family "Bacterial small subunit ribosomal RNA", at positions 28 to 526 of the family's 1533-position model. The record is from RNAcentral.
GACGAACGCUGGCGGCGUGCUUAACACAUGCAAGUCGAGCGGAAAGGCCCUUCGGGGUACUCGAGCGGCGAACGGGUGAGUAACACGUGAGCAAUCUGCCCUUAGCUUCGGGAUAGCUCCGGGAAACCGGAAUUAAUACCGAAUAUGACCGUAGUCGACAUCAGCUACGGUGGAAAGUUUUUCGGCUAGGGAUGAGCUCGCGGCCUAUCAGCUAGUUGGUGGGGUAACGGCCUACCAAGGCGACGACGGGUAGCCGGCCUGAGAGGGCGACCGGCCACACUGGGACUGAGACACGGCCCAGACUCCUACGGGAGGCAGCAGUGGGGAAUAUUGCGCAAUGGGCGAAAGCCUGACGCAGCGACGCCGCGUGAGGGAUGAAGGCCUUCGGGUUGUAAACCUCUUUCAGCAGGGACGAAGGGCAACUGACGGUACCUGCAGAAGAAGCUCCGGCUAACUACGUGCCAGCAGCCGCCGUAAAAC